Molecule: transfer RNA, 77 nt
Filed under: Candidatus Saccharimonadota bacterium
Lineage: Bacteria; Candidatus Saccharimonadota
Description: tRNA-Val
Rfam family: tRNA
About the family: Transfer RNA (tRNA) molecules are approximately 80 nucleotides in length. Their secondary structure includes four short double-helical elements and three loops (D, anti-codon, and T loops).
Source: RNAcentral
GGGUGAUUAGCUCAGUUGGCUAGAGCGUCUCGUUUACACCGAGGAUGUCGGGGGUUCAAGUCCCUCAUCACCCACCA